CGGGGCGUAGCGCAGCCUGGAUAGCGCACACGCUUGGGGUGCGUGUGGUCGGUGGUUCAAAUCCACUCGCCCCGACCA
RNAcentral lists this transfer RNA (78 nucleotides) under Candidatus Omnitrophota bacterium. RNAcentral's name for it is "Candidatus Omnitrophica bacterium tRNA-Pro". It matches the Rfam family "tRNA". From Rfam's summary of the family: Transfer RNA (tRNA) molecules are approximately 80 nucleotides in length. The record is from RNAcentral. Lineage: Bacteria; Pseudomonadati; Candidatus Omnitrophota.